Molecule: ribosomal RNA, 424 nt
Filed under: uncultured bacterium
Lineage: Bacteria
Description: bacterial SSU rRNA
Rfam family: Bacterial small subunit ribosomal RNA
Source: RNAcentral
ACGCUAAUACCGCAUAUUCUGUGAGCAGGAAAGCAGGGGAUCGCAAGACCUUGCGCUCUGGGAGCGGCCGAUGUCGGAUUAGCUAGUUGGUGGGGUAAAGGCCUACCAAGGCGACGAUCCGUAGCGGGUCUGAGAGGAUGAUCCGCCACACUGGGACUGAGACACGGCCCAGACUCCUACGGGAGGCAGCAGUGGGGAAUUUUGGACAAUGGGCGAAAGCCUGAUCUAGCCAUGCCGCGUGAGUGAAGAAGGCCUUCGGGUUGUAAAGCUCUUUCGGUGGGGAAGAAAUUGCACGGGUUAAUACCCUGUGUAGAUGACGGUACCUGGAGAAGAAGCACCGGCUAACUACGUGCCAGCAGCCGCGGUAAUACGUAGGGUGCGAGCGUUAAUCGGAAUUACUGGGCGUAAAGCGUGCGCAGGCGGU